UACGUAGGAGGCGAGCGUUGUCCGGAAUCACUGGGCGUAAAGCGCGUGUAGGCGGUGAGGCAAGUCUGCUGUGAAAGCGCCCGGCUUAACUGGGCGAGGUCGGCGGAAACUGCCCUACUUGAGGCCGGUAGAGGCGGGUAGAAUUCCCGGUGUAGUGGUGAAAUGCGUAGAGAUCGGGAGGAAUACCAGUGGCGAAGGCGGCCCGCUGGGCCGAGCCUGACGCUGAGACGCGAAGGCGCGGGGAGCGAACGGG
RNAcentral lists this ribosomal RNA (253 nucleotides) under uncultured bacterium. RNAcentral's name for it is "partial 16S ribosomal RNA". It matches the Rfam family "Bacterial small subunit ribosomal RNA", at positions 524 to 776 of the family's 1533-position model. The record is from RNAcentral.